RNAcentral lists this ribosomal RNA (465 nucleotides) under Vreelandella stevensii. RNAcentral's name for it is "partial 16S ribosomal RNA". It matches the Rfam family "Bacterial small subunit ribosomal RNA", at positions 338 to 795 of the family's 1533-position model. The record is from RNAcentral. Lineage: Bacteria; Pseudomonadati; Pseudomonadota; Gammaproteobacteria; Oceanospirillales; Halomonadaceae.
CCUACGGGGUGCUGCAGUGGGGAAUAUUGGACAAUGGGCGAAAGCCUGAUCCAGCCAUGCCGCGUGUGUGAAGAAGGCCUUCGGGUUGUAAAGCACUUUCAGUGGGGAAGAAAGCCUUGGGGCUAAUACCCUCGAGGAAGGACAUCACCCACAGAAGAAGCACCGGCUAACUCCGUGCCAGCAGCCGCGGUAAUACGGAGGGUGCGAGCGUUAAUCGGAAUUACUGGGCGUAAAGCGCGCGUAGGCGGUCUGAUAAGCCGGUUGUGAAAGCCCCGGGCUCAACCUGGGAACGGCAUCCGGAACUGUCAGGCUAGAGUGCAGGAGAGGAAGGUAGAAUUCCCGGUGUAGUGGUGAAAUGCGUAGAGAUCGGGAGGAAUACCAGUGGCGAAGGCGGCCUUCUGGACUGACACUGACGCUGAGGUGCGAAAGCGUGGGUAGCAAACAGGAUUAGAUACCCGAGUAGUC